This 872-nucleotide long non-coding RNA is filed under the name Mus musculus (house mouse). Its description in RNAcentral is "long non-coding RNA chr5:146248550-146249422". Lineage: Eukaryota; Metazoa; Chordata; Mammalia; Rodentia; Muridae. The record is from RNAcentral.
AUGGACCCGAUGUUAGACAAAAAGCAAAUUCAACUGUUUUCUUAUUUGGGUUUAAAAUGGGUCAUAAAGCAGCAGAGACAGCUGGCGACAUCGGCCACUCGUCUGACCCAGGAACGCUAAGGAAGGCACAAUGCGGUGCUGGGUGAAGAUGCUUCAUAGAGGAGAGGAGUCCCUGAAGAUGCAGAGCACUGUGGCAGCAUCAGAAGCUGACAAUGACCAAUUGAGAGCGGCCAGCAGAGCCAGUCCUCUUACAGCUGCAGAACUCACGGUGUGCCAGUCAAUGGCCAUUUGGCUUUUGAAGCAAAUUGGGAAAGUGUAAACGCUUGAUAAAUAGUUGCCUCUUGAGUGAAAAUGAAAGCCACUGUUGUGUCAUUCUUACGCAAUACAGCAGUGGGCCUGGCCUGUUGGACUGUGAUGUGUGCCAAAAAUGGUUUACGUACAACCGCCAGUGUUGACUCUCUGAGUGGCUGGCCUGAGAAGCAGUCGCAGAGCAUGUUCCAAAGUCAGAUUCACACCAAAAGAGGGUCAUGCUUCGGUGGUCUGCUGCCGAUCUGAUGCAGGUUUCUGCAUCCCAGCACUGUCAGUACAUCUGACGAGUGUGCUCGCAGACUAUUGAGAUGCCGAGACUGACACCACCUGCAGCUCACAGUGUCCACAGGAAGGGCCAGGUCUUCUUCAUGACAGCACCCAGGAGGCUGCACCGUGCACAACCAGUACUUCAGAAGGAAAGGAAAUGAGCUAUGAGGAAAAGCCUCUUCUACCAUAUUCACCUGACUUCUCACCAAGCAACUUCCACUCAAGUAUCUCAACAAAUAUUUGUAAGAUAAAUACUUUAUAGCCAGCAGGAUGCAGAAAACACUUCCCAACAGUUC